UUAAGUUCAGCGGGUAGUCCCACCCGAUUUGAGGUCAAAUUGUCAGAGAUUGUCCGAAGACGGUUUGAAGCAUAGAGCUUACUCUGCAAUGCAGUCUUGCGACUUGGCUCUGGUGAAAUGUUUAUUACACCGGAUACAUUGCAAAAGCAAGGUACACUCAGGCAUUUGAGACGAGCCGUAAUAACACGGCAACAUCCAAG
This 200-nucleotide unclassified non-coding RNA is filed under the name Sebacinaceae sp. RNAcentral's name for it is "partial internal transcribed spacer 2". The record is from RNAcentral. Lineage: Eukaryota; Fungi; Basidiomycota; Agaricomycetes; Sebacinales; Sebacinaceae.